RNAcentral lists this transfer RNA (73 nucleotides) under Diaphorina citri (Asian citrus psyllid). It matches the Rfam family "tRNA". Rfam says of the family: Transfer RNA (tRNA) molecules are approximately 80 nucleotides in length. Their secondary structure includes four short double-helical elements and three loops (D, anti-codon, and T loops). Lineage: Eukaryota; Metazoa; Arthropoda; Insecta; Hemiptera; Psyllidae. The record is from Rfam by way of RNAcentral.
UCUUCGGUAGCGUAGUGGUUAAUGCACUUACCUUUUGAGUGGGAGGUCGCAGGUUCAAAUCUCUCUCGAGGCA